AAAAAAGAAAGAAAGAAAGAAAAAAAGGGAUUUUCUACAUAAAAUCAGCUGAUUUUUGGAGAGAAGAACAAAAGCUGAAAAUAAACUAAAAAUAGAUUUUGUCAAGACUCUGCCAUAUUGUUAUACCGUAACCGACUGAGUCUCUUUCUCUAUCUUCUCUCUCUAAAAUUUGUAGACAUCUGUCUGUAUGUAUUGAUUAUGGUGAUCUGGGGUUUAUCCAUAGAGGGGAGGAAAAGGGCGGAAGGGAGUUCAAGUGCAAUUAAUAGUGUUAUUAAAUGGCUUUCUCAAGUACAAUUGUUGAGAAUACAAGCCCUCUAGAGCAAGAAAGCAAGUUUCUUGUUGAAGCUCCAUUCAUGGCGUCAAAUAAAGGCAAUAACACCAUCAACGCACAUGCAGUUUUAGAACAAGAACAAAAUUUUCAGGAAUUUUAUCAUCAGAAUCAGAAUAAUCUGAUUUCUUUUGGAAUGAUGCAAUCAGCUUCAUCAGCAGCCAUGCCUUGCAACUUCAUGUAAUCUUUUUUGUCUCUCUUCUUCUUGCAAUAGUCACCACCUCAUCACUUUUUUCUUUUUUGAAAUUCUCAAAAAAUAUUCUCUCUCUCUCUCUCUCAAUUUUAGACCAUAGACUGUUCUCUUGAUUAUUUCCUCUUUGGCACAGUUUGAUACUAUUAUGCUUAAUUAUAUAGCCGUUGAUUUAUAUGCAGAAGCAAAGAUAGUGGAGCUUAUGAUUUGGGUGAAGCCCUUUUCCUCUAUCUUGAUAGCCAAGAACAGUCGAGGGCUAAAGAACAAAGUCGUAAAGAUCUCCCUCCUUCCCUCCCUCUCCCCCUCUUUUCG
Molecule: long non-coding RNA, 830 nt
Filed under: Olea europaea subsp. europaea
Lineage: Eukaryota; Viridiplantae; Streptophyta; Magnoliopsida; Lamiales; Oleaceae
Source: RNAcentral